This is a long non-coding RNA of Suricata suricatta (meerkat), 928 nucleotides long. RefSeq lists it as uncharacterized. Lineage: Eukaryota; Metazoa; Chordata; Mammalia; Carnivora; Herpestidae. The record is from RefSeq and is a predicted model, not a curated record. The transcript is spliced from 5 exons.
CGAGCACGAGUGAGGUUUGCUUGGUUCCGUUUGUGGCGUUUCGGUUUUUGGCAUAGGAGAGGAAAAUUUAUGGUGAAAUCCUUUGUUUUUCUUAGCUGUUUACGGUGUGCGAUACAUAGAAACAGUGUCGGUUCCUGUUUUGUGAUUGUCAAUUAGUGGGAAGGAAAAGUUGGAAUAUCUCCUUCGUGGUGGCUUGGGAUAGGUUCUGUGAAUCUUAUCUGCCAACCAGCCAACCAACAACCAACCAACCAACGUGGUGUGGUCAGUAGAAAUUUGAACUUCCAGAUCUGAAUUGCAGCUGUGAGCAGAUGUUAGGAAGUAAUUAGUGGGGGGUGGUAUAGCUUCUAGUCAUCUGGUCUAUCUAGGCAGAGACAUUUGUAGGUGUGUGAUUGUUCAGAGCAGAAAACAACUGACUUUAUGUACUCAUUCAGUCUUCUCUCUUGCUGAGAAAUUGGCAGAGCUGUGAACUUUUGAGUGAGAACAGAAAAGGAACUUGCACCGGAUACCAAGAAAGGAACAAACUGCACACAUUUCAGAGUGUUGAGUGGGCCUCUGGUCCAUCUAAGGUACCCUGAGAACAUAGCCAAUGAGGAUCAUUCUAAUUCUACUCUGACACUUCUUCAACCCAAUAUCUUGGUGCACCCUUUUAGGAUCUUCAACUCCGCAGGUGGAAAACCCAAGAACUAGAGGGUCCCAAGAGAACAGAUCAAACUGGUGGCCAAUUCGGGGGCAGGGGCCCAUCGACUAUGCAUCCUGUGGUGUCCUUUGUAGUUUGCACGCUAUCUCUCCCAGCCAGGAUCGCAAGCUACAUUGUGGAUUGUGCAGGUGUUGUCUCCAUAUUGACUGCUAAGAAAAUAAAUAGCAUGUUGGAAAAAAUAUAUCACGUGGAGAAGAGAGAGAGAAAGAGAGAGCAUGAGCAUGGAGAGCA